AGAGUUUGAUCCUGGCUCAGGACGAACGCUGGUGGCGCGCCUAACACAUGCAAGUCGAACGAGAGAUGAGGAGCUUGCUCUUCAAAUCGAGUGGCGAACGGGUGAGUAACGCGUGAGGAACCUGCCUCAAAGAGGGGGACAACAGUUGGAAACGACUGCUAAUACCGCAUAAGCCCACGGCUCGGCAUCGAGCAGAGGGAAAAGGAGCAAUCCGCUUUGAGAUGGCCUCGCGUCCGAUUAGCUAGUUGGUGAGGUAAUGGCCCACCAAGGCGACGAUCGGUAGCCGGACUGAGAGGUUGAACGGCCACAUUGGGACUGAGACACGGCCCAGACUCCUACGGGAGGCAGCAGUGGGGAAUAUUGCACAAUGGGGGAAACCCUGAUGCAGCGACGCCGCGUGGAGGAAGAAGGUCUUCGGAUUGUAAACUCCUGUUGUUGAGGAAGAUAAUGACGGUACUCAACAAGGAAGUGACGGCUAACUACGUGCCAGCAGCCGCGGUAAAACGUAGGUCACAAGCGUUGUCCGGAAUUACUGGGUGUAAAGGGAGCGCAGGCGGGAGAACAAGUUGGAAGUGAAAUCCAUGGGCUCAACCCAUGAACUGCUUUCAAAACUGUUUUUCUUGAGUAGUGCAGAGGUAGGCGGAAUUCCCGGUGUAGCGGUGGAAUGCGUAGAUAUCGGGAGGAACACCAGUGGCGAAGGCGGCCUACUGGGCACCAACUGACGCUGAGGCUCGAAAGUGUGGGUAGCAAACAGGAUUAGAUACCCUGGUAGUCCACACCGUAAACGAUGAUUACUAGGUGUUGGAGGAUUGACCCCUUCAGUGCCGCAGUUAACACGAUAGGUAAUCCACCUGGGGAGUACGACCGCAA
Molecule: ribosomal RNA, 870 nt
Filed under: uncultured bacterium
Lineage: Bacteria
Description: bacterial SSU rRNA
Rfam family: Bacterial small subunit ribosomal RNA
Source: RNAcentral